CAGUAGUCACGUAGUUUGAUCCGUGGCUCAGAACGAACGCUGGCGGCAUGCCUAACACAUGCAAGUCGAACGAACCCUUCGGGGUUAGUGGCGCACGGGUGCGUAACGCGUGGGAACCUACCAUCAGGUUCGGAAUAACAGUUAGAAAUGACUGCUAAUACCGGAUAAUGUCUUCGGACCAAAGAUUUAUCGCCUUUUGAUGGGCCCGCGUAAGAUUAGGUAGUUGGUGGGGUAAAAGCCUACCAAGCCGACGAUCUUUAGCUGGUCUGAGAGGAUGAUCAGCCACACUGGGACUGAGACACGGCCCAGACUCCUACGGGAGGCAGCAGUGGGGAAUAUUGGACAAUGGGCGAAAGCCUGAUCCAGCAAUGCCGCGUGAGUGAUGAAGGCCUUAGGGUUGUAAAGCUCUUUUACCAGGGAUGAUAAUGACAGUACCUGGAGAAUAAGCUCCGGCUAACUCCGUG
RNAcentral lists this ribosomal RNA (464 nucleotides) under uncultured bacterium. Its description in RNAcentral is "bacterial SSU rRNA". It matches the Rfam family "Bacterial small subunit ribosomal RNA", at positions 1 to 507 of the family's 1533-position model. The record is from RNAcentral.